UGUUCGAGCGUCAUUACAACCCUCAAGCUCUGCUUGGUAUUGGGCUCUGCCAGUCCUGGCAGGCCUCAAAGUCAGUGGCGGUGCUCUUAAGCUCUACGCGUAGUAAUUUUCUCGCUACAGGGUCUUGCUAGUACUUGCCAACAACCCCAACUUAUCACAAGGUUGACCUCGGAUCAGGUAGGGAUACCCGCUGAACUUAA
RNAcentral lists this unclassified non-coding RNA (200 nucleotides) under soil metagenome. RNAcentral's name for it is "partial contains internal transcribed spacer 2 and large subunit ribosomal RNA". The record is from RNAcentral.